RNAcentral lists this ribosomal RNA (140 nucleotides) under uncultured eukaryote. RNAcentral describes it as "partial 18S ribosomal RNA". It matches the Rfam family "Eukaryotic small subunit ribosomal RNA", at positions 1299 to 1458 of the family's 1831-position model. The record is from RNAcentral.
UGGUGGAGUGAUUUGUCUGGUCGAUUCCGAUAACGAACGAGACGCUCAGAACUAAAUAAUGCAUGCUGAAACUCACGUUUUAUGCACAUUUCUUAUUUCGACAACUUGGUUCUACCAAGAGGAAGAAGAGCGCAAUAACA